RNAcentral lists this ribosomal RNA (836 nucleotides) under uncultured organism. Its description in RNAcentral is "bacterial SSU rRNA". It matches the Rfam family "Bacterial small subunit ribosomal RNA", at positions 14 to 896 of the family's 1533-position model. The record is from RNAcentral.
UGAUCCUGGCUCAGGAUGAACGCUGGCGGUCUGCUUACACAUGCAAGUCGAACGCACCUUCGGGUUGAGUGGCGGACGGGUGAGUAACGCGUGAGAAUCUGCCUUGGGGUCGGGGACAACCACUGGAAACGGUGGCUAAUACCGGAUAAGCCUUUGGGUAAAAAAUUUAUUGCCCCAAGAGGAGCUCGCGUCUGAUUAGCUAGUUGGUGAGGUAAAAGCUCACCAAGGCAGCGAUCAGUAGCUGGUCUGAGAGGACGAUCAGCCACACUGGGACUGAGACACGGCCCAGACUCCUACGGGAGGCAGCAGUGGGGAAUUUUCCGCAAUGGGCGAAAGCCUGACGGAGCAAGACCGCGUGAGGGAGGAAGGCUCUUGGGUUGUAAACCUCUUUUCUCAGGGAAGAAGCUCUGACGGUACCUGAGGAAUCAGCCUCGGCUAACUCCGUGCCAGCAGCCGCGGUAAUACGGAGGAGGCAAGCGUUAUCCGGAAUUAUUGGGCGUAAAGCGUCCGCAGGUGGCGAUUCAAGUCUGCUGUCAAAGCACGGGGCUUAACUCCGUUAAGGCAGUGGAAACUGAAUAGCUAGAGUGCCGUAGGGGUAGAGGGAAUUCCCGGUGUAGCGGUGAAAUGCGUAGAGAUCGGGAAGAACAUCGGUGGCGAAAGCGCUCUACUGGACGGCAACUGACACUCAGGGACGAAAGCUAGGGGAGCGAAUGGGAUUAGAUACCCCAGUAGUCCUAGCUGUAAACGAUGGAUACUAGGUGUAGCUUGUAUCGACCCGAGCUGUGCCGAAGCUAACGCGUUAAGUAUCCCGCCUGGGGAGUACGCACGCAAGUGUG